AAAAUAUUUAUCGUUUAGAUAUGUAUUUUUAUAUAAAUAUCCCGACCCUUUUAUUAACAAUUUUGAUUUGGUGGUCUCUCUUUAUCAACAAUUCUGAUUCAUUGAAUAAAAAAAUUUAUUAUUAAUAUCUCUCUAAUCAUGGUUAUCGAGAAUGAUAAAGAGGUGAUCAAGAAAUUAGUGCAGAUUGAGGGGAGGAGUCUGAAGUUGGAUCAAUAAGAGGAUUGAUUUCGUUUUCUUGAGGUUUGGUGUAUCCUUUCUUUCUUUCUUUUUAUUCUAACAUUAGCAUUUUUUAUCGAUUGACGGGUUGUCAAGUCGAGGUAUUUGUCCCAUUCCGAAGUUGAAAGAUUGUGUCGAGUCUUCGAGGAGUGCUUGUUGAAGAAAGAUAUAAGAUAGGUUCGUGGUUUGAGAAUGUUAUUGGCGAUGGGUGUAGCCGGUGGACUGGCUUUUCACGGAUUGGUGGAUCGACUUCCUGCUUGGUGAUAUAUGGGCAACUUUGUGGAACGGUGUCCUCGACUUGUGGGGAUUUAUGAAGAUUGCGAAUUUAUAAGGGAGUUUUCGUUCUGGUUUUGGCUUCUAUUUUGUUCAAUUUAUUUUACUUUCAGGCGAGUAUGUGUAUUUUGCAUCUGCUUGACGUGUUUUGCCCCUUGUUUGCCUUUUUAAUUCAAUAAAUAUUACCAACUUUCCCCUA
This is a long non-coding RNA of Gossypium arboreum, 688 nucleotides long. RefSeq lists it as uncharacterized. The record is from RefSeq and is a predicted model, not a curated record. The transcript has 2 exons. NCBI's taxonomy places the organism in Eukaryota, Viridiplantae, Streptophyta, Magnoliopsida, Malvales, Malvaceae.